This 406-nucleotide ribosomal RNA is filed under the name uncultured bacterium. RNAcentral describes it as "partial 16S ribosomal RNA". It matches the Rfam family "Bacterial small subunit ribosomal RNA", at positions 30 to 526 of the family's 1533-position model. The record is from RNAcentral.
AUUGAACGCUGGCGGCAGGCCUAACACAUGCAAGUCGAACGAGUGGCGGACGGGUGAGUAAUGUCUGGGAAACUGCCUGAUGGAGGGGGAUAACUACUGGAAACGGUAGCUAAUCCCGCAUACCAUCGGAUGUGCCCAGAUGGGGUUAGCGAGUAGGUGGGGUAAAGGCUCACCUAGGCGACGACCCCUAGCUGGUCUGGGAGGUUGACCGGCCACACUGGAACGUAGAAACGGUCCAAACUCCUACGGGGGGCAGCAGUGGGGAAUAUUGGACAAUGGGCGAAAGCCUGAUGCAGCCAUGCCGCGUGUAUGAAGAAGGCCUUCGGUUUGUAAAGUACUUUCAGCGGGGAGGCGUUACCCGCAGAAGAAGCACCGGCUAACUCCGUGCCAGCAGCCGCGGUAAUAC